AUAACUACCCAUUAAACAACUUGUGUCUUGUCUUCUUCCUAUCUCUGAUCUUAAACCUAUCAAUUUGGUAUCAGAGCCUUCAUCUCGCUUUUGAUUUGGACCACUUUGUGGUAUCAAUAGCAACCUUCAUCCACUAUCUAUCUUGGUUUUGAUCCAGACCACACUUGUGGUAUCAAUCCCUAUUUUUAUCAUCGUUCUCAGUUUUGAUCCGGACCACAUUUAUGGUAUCAAAAUCUAUAUCUUUCAUAUUAAAAAAAAAGAAAAAAAAAAUAGUAGCCACAGGAAGCUGUCCUUUGAUCUUCUAGUCAGAGAAGACGACACAAGCGGAGAAGAUGGGAAGAAGUUAUCCAAG
Molecule: long non-coding RNA, 352 nt
Filed under: Capsella rubella
Lineage: Eukaryota; Viridiplantae; Streptophyta; Magnoliopsida; Brassicales; Brassicaceae
Description: long non-coding RNA (CRUB_LNC002231)
Source: RNAcentral